Molecule: non-coding RNA, 217 nt
Organism: Caenorhabditis elegans
Lineage: Eukaryota; Metazoa; Nematoda; Chromadorea; Rhabditida; Rhabditidae
Source: Ensembl
CCGAUUGAUGAUAAUGCUUUGAUGAUACCGUAAUUCAAUCGUGUUUGACAAGAAAAGCAGAGCGGAAAAUAUACGAGCUACUGAUUUGCAGUGUACAAGAAAUCGGAGACAAAUAGAUGAAGGAUCAUUGAAAAGUGAAGUGAUCACUAAAUUAUAAUGUGGUAGAAAUGUGCAAUCUACAGUUGAAAUCAAACGAAGUAAAUGCUUUUUUGCCCAU